UCAUCUCCGGGGGUAGAGCACUGUUUCGGCAAGGGGGUCAUCCCGACUUACCAACCCGAUGCAAACUGCGAAUACCGGAGAAUGUUAUCACGGGAGACACACGGCGGGUGCUAACGUCCGUCGUGAAGAGGGAAACAACCCAGACCGCCAGCUAAGGUCCCAAAGUCAUGGUUAAGUGGGAAACGAUGUGGGAAGGCCCAGACAGCCAGGAUGUUGGCUUAGAAGCAGCCAUCAUUUAAAGAAAGCGUAAUAGCUCACUGGUCGAGUCGGCCUGCGCGGAAGAUGUAACGGGGCUAAACCAUGCACCGAAGCUGCGGCAGCGACGCUGAUGCGUUGUUGGGUAGGGGAGCGUUCUGUAAGCCUGCGAAGGUGUGCUGUGAGGCAUGCUGGAGGUAUCAGAAGUGCGAAUGCUGACAUAAGUAACGAUAAAGCGGGUGAAAAGCCCGCUCGCCGGAAGACCAAGGGUUCCUGUCCAACGUUAAUCGGGGCAGGGUGAGUCGACCCCUAAGGCGAGGCCGAAAGGCGUAGUCGAUGGGAAACAGGUUAAUAUUCCUGUACUUGGUGUUACUGCGAAGGGGGGACGGAGAAGGCUAUGUUGGCCGGGCGACGGUUGUCCCGGUUUAAGCGUGUAGGCUGGUUUUCCAGGCAAAUCCGGAAAAUCAAGGCUGAGGCGUGAUGACGAGGCACUACGGUGCUGAAGCAACAAAUGCCCUGCUUCCAGGAAAAGCCUCUAAGCAUCAGGUAACAUCAAAUCGUACCCCAAACCGACACAGGUGGUCAGGUAGAGAAUACCAAGGCGCUUGAGAGAACUCGGGUGAAGGAACUAGGCAAAAUGGUGCCGUAACUUCGGGAGAAGGCACGCUGAUAUGUAGGUGAAGUCCCUUGCGGAUGGAGCUGAAAUCAGUCGAAGAUACCAGCUGGCUGCAACUGUUUAUUAAAAACACAGCACUGUGCAAACACGAAAGUGGACGUAUACGGUGUGACGCCUGCCCGGUGCCGGAAGGUUAAUUGAUGGGGUCAGCGCAAGCGAAGCUCUUGAUCGAAGCCCCGGUAAACGGCGGCCGUAACUAUAACGGUCCUAAGGUAGCGAAAUUCCUUGUCGGGUAAGUUCCGACCUGCACGAAUGGCGUAAUGAUGGCCAGGCUGUCUCCACCCGAGACUCAGUGAAAUUGAACUCGCUGUGAAGAUGCAGUGUACCCGCGGCAAGACGGAAAGACCCCGUGAACCUUUACUAUAGCUUGACACUGAACAUUGAGCCUUGAUGUGUAGGAUAGGUGGGAGGCUUGGAAGUGUGGACGCCAGUCUGCAUGGAGCCGACCUUGAAAUACCACCCUUUAAUGUUUGAUGUUCUAACGUUGACCCGUAAUCCGGGUUGCGGACAGUGUCUGGUGGGUAGUUUGACUGGGGCGGUCUCCUCCUAAAGAGUAACGGAGGAGCACGAAGGUUGGCUAAUCCUGGUCGGACAUCAGGAGGUUAGUGCAAUGGCAUAAGCCAGCUUGACUGCGAGCGUGACGGCGCGAGCAGGUGCGAAAGCAGGUCAUAGUGAUCCGGUGGUUCUGAAUGGAAGGGCCAUCGCUCAACGGAUAAAAGGUACUCCGGGGAUAACAGGCUGAUACCGCCCAAGAGUUCAUAUCGACGGCGGUGUUUGGCACCUCGAUGUCGGCUCAUCACAUCCUGGGGCUGAAGUAGGUCCCAAGGGUAUGGCUGUUCGCCAUUUAAAGUGGUACGCGAGCUGGGUUUAGAACGUCGUGAGACAGUUCGGUCCCUAUCUGCCGUGGGCGCUGGAGAACUGAGGGGGGCUGCUCCUAGUACGAGAGGACCGGAGUGGACGCAUCACUGGUGUUCGGGUUGUCAUGCCAAUGGCACUGCCCGGUAGCUAAAUGCGGAAGAGAUAAGUGCUGAAAGCAUCUAAGCACGAAACUUGCCCCGAGAUGAGUUCUCCCUGACCCUUUAAGGGUCCUGAAGGAACGUUGAAGACGACGACGUUGAUAGGCCGGGUGUGUAAGCGCAGCGAUGCGUUGAGCUAACCGGUACUAAUGAACCGUGAGGCUUAACCUU
This 2058-nucleotide ribosomal RNA is filed under the name Escherichia coli H730. Its description in RNAcentral is "bacterial LSU rRNA". It matches the Rfam family "Bacterial large subunit ribosomal RNA", at positions 890 to 2925 of the family's 2925-position model. The record is from RNAcentral. Lineage: Bacteria; Pseudomonadati; Pseudomonadota; Gammaproteobacteria; Enterobacterales; Enterobacteriaceae.